GGGGUUAUAGCUCAGUUGGUAGAGCAUCACACUGGCAGUGUGAGGGUCUGCGGUUCGACUCCGCAUAACUCCA
This 73-nucleotide transfer RNA is filed under the name Fibrobacter sp. RNAcentral's name for it is "tRNA-Ala". It matches the Rfam family "tRNA". From Rfam's summary of the family: Transfer RNA (tRNA) molecules are approximately 80 nucleotides in length. The record is from RNAcentral. Lineage: Bacteria; Pseudomonadati; Fibrobacterota; Fibrobacteria; Fibrobacterales; Fibrobacteraceae.